GUAGGGACCAAGCGUUGUUCGGAUUUACUGGGCGUAAAGGGCGCGUAGGCGGCGCGGUAAGUCACUUGUCAUAUCUCUGAGCUUAACUCAGAACGGCCAAGUGAUAUUGCAGUGCUAGAGAGUGGAAGGGGCAAUCGGAAUUCUUGGUGUAGCGGUGAAAUGCGUAGAUAUCAAGAGGAACACCUGAGGUGAAGACGGGUUGCUGGGCCAACACUGACGCUGAGGCGCGAAAGCCAGGGGAGCAAACGGGAUUAGAUACCCCGGUAGUCCUGGCCCUAAACGAUGAAUACUUGGUGUCUGGAGUUUUAAUGCUCCGGGUGCCGUCGCUAACGUUUUUAGUAUUCCGCCUGGGGAGUACGCUCGCAAGACUG
Molecule: ribosomal RNA, 371 nt
Filed under: uncultured bacterium
Lineage: Bacteria
Description: bacterial SSU rRNA
Rfam family: Bacterial small subunit ribosomal RNA
Source: RNAcentral